AAUUGCACUCGGGUACCCAGC
RNAcentral lists this microRNA (21 nucleotides) under Pristionchus pacificus. Its description in RNAcentral is "ppc-miR-8227-3p". The record is from miRBase by way of RNAcentral. Lineage: Eukaryota; Metazoa; Nematoda; Chromadorea; Rhabditida; Neodiplogasteridae.